CAAAUGUCUAGGACUUUAACUGUGUUCUCUUGAAGAAAUUUAACUUUAAGUUCAUCAGUAGUUCAGCCCACAUUGAGUGAUGUAUAAAAUUUGGUAGAAUUAGAAGAAUAUGAAUGAGUUGCUUCUUGAGGAAACUGCUUAAAAUUUGUAGAACUAGAAGAGUAUGCAAGAGCUACUUCUAAUUGAUUAGAAGGACAAAGCCUAUGUGUGAAGCUUUCAUUGUACUCAUUAUUUUAACUUUGAAAAAAUUUAGUGUUUCUAUAGUAUCACAUGUCAAUUGCAAUUGUCAUUACUUUUGUAAUGUUACAUAUUUUAUGUAGAACUCAUGAUUUAAGAUUGAAAUGUAUGUGCAUUGGUGUAAUAUUACAUUUGAAUGAAAGAGCUCAUUAAUUUGUAUCAAUUUUAUUCCAAA
Trifolium pratense (red clover) is the source of this 412-nucleotide long non-coding RNA. RefSeq lists it as uncharacterized. The record is from RefSeq and is a predicted model, not a curated record. The transcript is spliced from 2 exons. NCBI's taxonomy places the organism in Eukaryota, Viridiplantae, Streptophyta, Magnoliopsida, Fabales, Fabaceae.